Meleagris gallopavo (turkey) is the source of this 4351-nucleotide long non-coding RNA. The record is from Ensembl. NCBI's taxonomy places the organism in Eukaryota, Metazoa, Chordata, Aves, Galliformes, Phasianidae.
AUGAAGAGGGAGAAGAAAAGGAAGAAGAAGGAAAGCAAGAAGAGGGAGAAGAAAAGGAAGAGGUGGAGGAGCAAGAAGAGUCUUAGUACACUUCCUUAUGACACAUUCUCUCUUGAAAGGUUUUCAGGAAGCACAAGCUGGAGCAGCCCUGCCAAAGGAAAACCCUCCCUCUUAAGCAAACCGUCACUACCUUUCAUGCCUGUGUACAUGUGAACAUAUAAAUACAGAACAACAAAGAUACCACUGUAUCCUACUUGUAGCCUUUGUAUAUAUAUUUGGUAUUACAAUUGCUUGUUAAAAUGGAUCUUCUUAUAUCUGAUUGCUGAUAUUUCAGUUGACUGUUAUGUGUUGGAAUAGUAUUGUCCAUGUCAUAUCUUAGACUGUAAGUUCCUCAGAGCAGGAACCAUGUCUUUCUCCAUGUUUAUGUACUGUCAAGCACACUGCUACCACUCAGCAGAUAAUUGCACUCACACAAGUGGUGUUGUAUUCGGAGAAAAAGAAACUCAGAGCUGAAAACUACAAAAAGGCUUCCUGUAUGCAACUUAUGUGAGUCACUUCUCCCUCAGCUGGCUUUUGAAAGUGAUUGAGAUUCCCAUUGUACAGCAGUUUAAAUAAAUGCAUUUUCUGUCACAUCCAUUCUUUGUCUGUAAAAGUAUUAAUUUAGCCCUAGCUAGCAGCACUAGCAUCUGUAAAACUAAGUUUUUUUCAUCAUUAUGGUUAUAAGUUAUGUAAAGAUUUUCACCUUACCUCCUGCUAAUGUUUCUGGUGCUGUGUAUACAUUUACCUGUGUCCCAAGGGAUGUACGAGAUACAUGAGCAUAUUCCUUUCUCAUGAGAGGCAGAAGCAGAUCAGACGUGAUCAGAUAUCAAACAAAAAAGAGAAAAUGAGGUAUUCUUCUUCCCCUCUUACUUACUUACAGUAGUACUGUGGUUAACACUGUUUUGUAGGAUAAGAAUAAUGAUGUUGUUAAUUGCAUACCUACCUGCCUCUACCAUUGGCAGCCUGCCUGCAGAAGAUUCCAACCACAAGGUUAAGUGAUCAUCUUUGAAGGAAAGAGAUGUCCUGGCCCCUUCAACAGAGACUAUGUCAGUUUUCAUGGAUACAUCUGUAUUCUCUGGCACAUGGAGGCAGAGAAAGUUAAUUCAUAUUUGUGCUCUGUGAGAUGUUUACUGAGAAGGAUGAAGCUUAAAUUUCAUCCCCUUGUGCAAUUACUUGCUAGGAGAGUUAUAAUAACUGCUUAUAGAAGAGAGAAGAAAAAAUACUUAUUGCCAAAGUAGUCCAUAGCUACACAACAAAAGGAACUGUGACUUUGUGAUUAACUCUGAUCAAGGAGCUGGCUUUUUGAAUGGAAAUCUCCUGUACUGUGAGUGGCUGCAUGAGCAACCACUGAACAAUAGGUCAAUAGGCAACUUCAGGAAAAAGGAAGCUCAUAAGCAGAUAUGACCACUUGAGAUGUGUCCACUGAUAUCUCUAAUCCAGUGAAUUUUAGCUGCUGAGGAUUAUAAGCAGAAAAAGUUGCAUAUGGUGGAUGGAUUCACAUGCUGCUCCUAAUUAGUAUUGCCUAUUUCCACUUCCAAAGGCUAAUUACUGGGUUAGGUGAGCUAUUGACCUGAUCCAGUUCUUAUGUACCUGUAGGUGAAAACUCCUCACUGGGAAAAUGCUCCCCAUCUCACUGGCAGCCAAAUUGAGGUGCCAGGAAUUGCUGCAGUAGUUUUGAGCGAAAGGACACCAUACUUUGGGGAAUGUGAUAAAUUCAGUGCAGUGAGACUGUGUUGACCAUUUGUGGUAGCCUCAGUGCAUCUCCAGAUUGCCUGAGAUUCUUGCAGUUGAUGGCCUUUGCAUUCCAGUUUUCCUCUACCCAAGCAUCUCAGUGCCGGGUGGGCCCCAAGGCUUCAGACUUGAAACAAACCCACCAAAUCUCACAUAUUCAGGAAUUACUUGUUAAGGCAGAAAUAUGGCAACCAUCUCCUUGAGAGAGAAUAAUCUGACAAGCUGGUCAGGGAAUGUGAGGAAUGCUAAGCCUCACAUGCAGGAGUGACGCACUGACCUGCCCUCAGCUGGUGGCACAGGACUCUCAGUGCCUGGUGACAAAGCCAGUGGUACAGCGUACAGUUGCACUCACUGAACGGACAUUUGUUGCUCUCUUUGGGAUAAUACUUUUUGGCAUUUACUGAUCACCUUUUCUUCCAGACUAAAGGAGGCUGUGAGUAUGCAAAGGACAAAAUAGCUGAAAGCCAGCUGCUGCUUCAUAGGAAUGCCCUGCGUUUUCAGCCAUAACACUAAUUCUGGUUGCAAAAGCUUAACACUUUCCUCAGUAAUUCAUUGCUACUAGGAAAAUAAAUAAGCUUUUCUAACUCCAGCAGGAUGAAAAGCAGUAGCACAAAUACAUGAGCUAAUUAAUUAGAUGCAUUUGAAAGCAUACUGUCUGCAUUAUUAUAUCAUUGAUUUUUCACUGAGAGAAAACAACCAGAGUUGGCUAACUGAGACUGCAGGUGCACCGCGUUUCACUGUGGAUGAAAAAUUAUUUCUAGUUCACCACAGUUAGACAAGAAAGGAGGAAGCUGCUUUUGGUGGCACUUUGGUAUGUAAAGUAUUUUUCUUGAUGACUGAUGUUAGAAACUCCUAAUAUGCCAAAACAAGUUAAAAUUAGGAAGGCUUCAAGUUAUGUUUCCUAUAGAUCCAUAUAUGUCAUAGGAUGGUGGGUGGUUGCACUUAAAAAAAAAGAUGGUCAAAUUUAACAGGCUGCUGAAAUGUAGAAGAAGGACAUCACAAAAUACCUAAGUAGAUAGAGUGAGUCAAUGGCAGUUUUCCAGGAAAAUAAGUAUUAAGGGCUACAACCUGUUGCUAGAAAUGGAGAGGGCGAGGUAUCAGGUCCAAAAGGCAAAGUGGGCCAUUUUUUCUCUUACAUGAGAGCAUUUCUAAGCCACCAAAGUUUGUGAGAGGUUUUAUGAGAAUGCUCUAAACAAAAUUCAUUGGAGAGAAAUGAAAUUAUCAGUAGUCUUGCCAAUAUGGCACUAGCCCUGGGCAUUUGUUUUUGGUGAUCUUUCUAGCCACUGUGUCUGUUCACCUGCCUUCCAGCUAAUAAGACUUGCUAAUUGUUUCCUGUGUACUGCGAGAUUAUCAGUGCAAAAGGAGAUAAGUCUACUUAUCUGCAUCCUUUGACAACCUCAGGAGGCUGGAGAUAAACUUGACAAACAAUCUGGGAAGAGAAAAAUUCGACAGAUUAAUUUCUUCAGAAGACAGAUUGAAAAUAUAAGGUUUGAUGUCAAACAUCUUGAAGAAUGUGGGCUGUUCCUGCCGUUGCAAAGUCAUUGUCAUGCACACAGAAACUGAGCAAUGCUCAGCUGAGACUCAGUCUUAGUGAGCUACUGUCUCCAUUUUGCUCAUGAGGAAAUAAGGUGCAGAGGCUGCAUGAAGUGUUUAAUGCCCACAGGUCGAGGAUAAUUGAUUGUGAAUCAGGUGUGAAUUACAUGGGAUGUAUCCCACUGCUUGAUUUUGCAUGCAGUUUGGACAUCUGUCAUUAGAAAAUGGAGAGAGCCUUGGGGUUGUUAAUUCAGGGGACUACAGGUCCCUUGCAGCUGCCCUACGGUUGCCACAAAUUCACUGAGAAAAAGUAUCAUCCUCUAAUAAGGACGCUUUGCAAAGAAUACUGUUUUUGUGUAAACAGGUGUACGAGAAGUUGAGUUUUGAUAUCAGCCUGUCCAAACUCAUUUUUGACCACAGCCUAUUCAGUUAACUUCCUUGUGCUUUGCUUUCUCCAUGAAAGAUAAGAAAAAGAAAACAUAAUCUUAUUGUAGAAAUUUUAUGAGAAUAAAAUGAAAGCAUCAAUACAUUGUUCAGAAAAUGGAAGUAUAACUGCAUAUUAUAUAAUGGAGCAAUGACAUUGGUGGACAAAGGAGAGGAAACUGACAUCAUCUACCUGCACUUGUGACAUGGACUUUGACAUGGUCCUGCACCACAUCCUUAUUUCUCAGCUGGAGAGAUACGGACUUGAUGGCUGGACUAUUUGGUGGAUGAGGAAUUGGUUGGAUGGUUACAGCCAGAGAGCUGUGGUCAGUGGUUAUAUAAGUCCAGAUGGAGGCAGGUAACAAGCAGUGUCUCCCAGGGGUCCAUCUCGAACAUCUUUAUCAAUGACAUAUAUAAUUGGAUCAAGUUUGCUGACAACAAGCUGAGUGUUGCAGGUGAUACAGCAGAAGGAAGGGAUGACAUCCAGAGGGGCCUUGAUAAACUCAAAAGGUGGACCCAUGUGAACCUAGUGAGGUUCAACAAAGCCAAGUGUGAGGGGUUGUACUCGGAUUGGGGCAAUCCCAAGUAUAUGUACAAGGAGAAGAACUCCUUGAGAGCAGCUUGG